NCCGACCUCAAAUCAGGUAGGAGUACCCGCUGAACUUAAGCAUAUCAAUAAGCGGAGGAAAAGAAACCAACCGGGAUUGCCUUAGUAACGGCGAGUGAACCGGCAAAAGCUCAAAUUUGAAAUCUG
RNAcentral lists this ribosomal RNA (126 nucleotides) under Schistosoma mansoni. RNAcentral's name for it is "partial 28S ribosomal RNA". It matches the Rfam family "Eukaryotic large subunit ribosomal RNA", at positions 1 to 124 of the family's 3401-position model. The record is from RNAcentral. Lineage: Eukaryota; Metazoa; Platyhelminthes; Trematoda; Strigeidida; Schistosomatidae.